UCCCGACCUCAUUUUAAGGUUGGCAGUGAAGGUGAGGGGUAUUUUCCUGGAGAUUCCUGUGUACCUGAAGCCUUCUGAAGGUUGCAGCUCCUCCCUAUGUCUGCUGAUUUCUAAGGAUGCUAAAUAAUCAGAUGUGCAGGCUUCUUCCCAGAGAACUGUAGAUGCAGCAAUGUCCCUUUUUUGCACUUGUCAUGUUACUGCUCCUACACGCAUCUAAAUUCAGCUCCAUCAGCUCUCAAAUUUAACUUCAAUGUGAGCAGCUUGGCUUGUAAUGGCGUUAGCAAUGCAAGAAGAAAAUUCCACUUACAGUUGUGCCCAGCGCUAUGUAUUGCAUUGCCAGAGCACCCUCACCCAGCACACUCUCCCCUUCUAGCAGCUGUACUGCAUCCCUCCAUCCAGCAGGAGGGUCAACAUUGCUCCCAGUAAAGAAGAGUUUUAGUGAGCUGAAGCAACCAGUCCAGCCAACAGCAGAGAUGGAGUCAGGACUCCUGGAUCCGCUAUAUUUACCCACAAAGUAAUCUGUCAGCAUCAGACUUGGAGAGCUGGAUGAGCUGUUCAAAGAGCCCACUUUGACCUCGGAUGCCCAGAAGGCUCUUUUCACUCAGAGGCAUGAAGUUUUGGGUCCCGAUGACAAAUGCUGUGGACAGCCCAACCUGGAUGAAUGGGAAAGC
Meleagris gallopavo (turkey) is the source of this 671-nucleotide non-coding RNA. Lineage: Eukaryota; Metazoa; Chordata; Aves; Galliformes; Phasianidae. The record is from RefSeq and is a predicted model, not a curated record.